GAUGAACGCUGGCGGCGUGCUUAACACAUGCAAGUCGAACGGAAAGGCCCAAGCUUGCUUGGGUACUCGAGUGGCGAACGGGUGAGUAACACGUGGGUGAUCUGCCCUGCACUUCGGGAUAAGCCUGGGAAACUGGGUCUAAUACCGGAUAGGACCACUUCUUGGAUGUUGUGGUGGAAAGUUUUUUCGGUGUGGGAUGAGCUCGCGGCCUAUCAGCUUGUUGGUGGGGUAAUGGCCCACCAAGGCGUCGACGGGUAGCCGGCCUGAGAGGGUGUACGGCCACAUUGGGACUGAGAUACGGCCCAGACUCCUACGGGAGGCAGCAGUGGGGAAUAUUGCACAAUGGGCGCAAGCCUGAUGCAGCGACGCCGCGGGGGGGAUGACGGCCUUCGGGUUGUAAACUCCUUUCGCUAGGGACGAAGCGUUUUGUGACGGUACCUGGAGAAGAAGCACCGGCUAACUACGUG
Molecule: ribosomal RNA, 467 nt
Filed under: uncultured bacterium
Lineage: Bacteria
Description: partial 16S ribosomal RNA
Rfam family: Bacterial small subunit ribosomal RNA
Source: RNAcentral